CCUACGGGUGGCAGCAGUGAGGAAUAUUGGUCAAUGGACGAGAGUCUGAACCAGCCAAGUAGCGUGAAGGAUGACUGCCCUAUGGGUUGUAAACUUCUUUUAUCAAGGGAUAAAACGAGGCACGUGUGCCUUUUUGCAUGUACUUUAUGCAUAAGGAUCGGCUAACUCCGUGCCAGCAGCCGCGGUAAUACGGAGGAUCCGAGCGUUAUCCGGAUUUAUUGGGUUUAAAGGGCGCGUAGAUGGUUUGUUAAGUCAGUUGUGAAAGUUUGGGGCUCAACCGUAAAAUUGCAAUUGAUAAUGGAAGGCUUGAGUAUAGUUGAGGUAGGCGGAAUUCGUGGUGUAGCGGUGAAAUGCUUAGAUAUCACGAAGAACUCCGAUUGCGAAGGCAGCUUACUAAACUGCCACUGACAUUGAUGCGCGAAAGUGUGGGGAUCAAACAGGAUUAGAUACCCGGGUAGUC
Molecule: ribosomal RNA, 460 nt
Filed under: uncultured bacterium
Lineage: Bacteria
Description: partial 16S ribosomal RNA
Rfam family: Bacterial small subunit ribosomal RNA
Source: RNAcentral